RNAcentral lists this non-coding RNA (29 nucleotides) under Mus musculus (house mouse). Lineage: Eukaryota; Metazoa; Chordata; Mammalia; Rodentia; Muridae. The record is from RNAcentral.
UACUAAGCAAAACAGCAUGGUGGAAAGUC